This 253-nucleotide ribosomal RNA is filed under the name uncultured bacterium. RNAcentral's name for it is "partial 16S ribosomal RNA". It matches the Rfam family "Bacterial small subunit ribosomal RNA", at positions 524 to 776 of the family's 1533-position model. The record is from RNAcentral.
UACGUAGGGGGCAAGCGUUGUCCGGAUUUAUUGGGCGUAAAGAGCGUGUAGGCGGCCAGACAGGUCCGUUGUGGAAACUCGAGGCUCAACCUCGAGAUGUCGAUGGAAACCGUCUGGCUAGAGUCCGGAAGAGGAGUGUGGAAUUCCUGGUGUAGCGGUGAAAUGCGCAGAUAUCAGGAAGAACACCUAUGGCGAAGGCAGCACUCUGGGACGGUACUGACGCUGAGACGCGAAAGCGUGGGGAGCGAACAGG